Setaria italica (foxtail millet) is the source of this 624-nucleotide long non-coding RNA. RefSeq lists it as uncharacterized. NCBI's taxonomy places the organism in Eukaryota, Viridiplantae, Streptophyta, Magnoliopsida, Poales, Poaceae. The transcript has 2 exons. The record is from RefSeq and is a predicted model, not a curated record.
AUUACAUUUCUUCACGGCACUGGAUGCCUUGUAAAAUAUGAAGAUUGAAACAACCCGUACAGAUCUAUUGUUCAUGCAUCACAACUAUUGUUUUGAAAUUAAGAAGAACAUGACAUGACAUGCUAGCGUAACUUGCGUGUUUGUUACAGGAAUUGAAUUGAUGUUUUCUCUAUCAAUUAUUAUCUGUGUAUAAUAAUUCCAAAAGCAAACCACGAUGACAGAUAAGAAUGUUGGCAUCGCAACUAACAAAAUUGAUGUGCAAUAGAUACCAACUGAUAAUGUAACAUGAUUGCUUGAAUAGUAAGUUGCUCCAUGACUUCCCAACGGUCAUUUAUUUACUACUAAAGCUGAAAAGGGCAGGAGGACGCGGCACAAUCACUUUCUCGCCUUGCUGUCCAGGUCCAGUCAUCAUCAUUCCAUUCAAUUCAAUCAUGUCCUCCCUCUGUAGCAUCCUCAUCAUGAUUGCCGUGCUGAUGAUCAUGGUGGCAUCGGCCGCUGAUCCGGGACUCCUCUCGUGGUAUCAUGGCCGACACCGCCACGCCCAAGUGCAAAUACAUCUCAAGAAAAAGAAAAAUUGUACUGGACAUGCACGAUCAAAUUUAACAUUGACAUUACAAGUUUGCA